This 1605-nucleotide ribosomal RNA is filed under the name Enterobacter hormaechei. Its description in RNAcentral is "partial 23S ribosomal RNA". It matches the Rfam family "Bacterial large subunit ribosomal RNA", at positions 108 to 1756 of the family's 2925-position model. The record is from RNAcentral. Lineage: Bacteria; Pseudomonadati; Pseudomonadota; Gammaproteobacteria; Enterobacterales; Enterobacteriaceae. RNAcentral also lists the same sequence under 1 other name.
CGAUGUCCGAAUGGGGAAACCCAGUGUGUUCCGACACACUAUCGUUAACUGAAUACAUAGGUUAACGAGGCGAACCGGGGGAACUGAAACAUCUAAGUACCCCGAGGAAAAGAAAUCAACCGAGAUUCCCCCAGUAGCGGCGAGCGAACGGGGAGCAGCCCGGAGUCUGAAUCAGCUUGUGUGUUAGUGGAACGGUCUGGAAAGUCCGACGGUACAGGGUGAUAGUCCCGUACACGAAAAUACACUUGCUGUGAACUCGAAGAGUAGGGCGGGACACGUGGUAUCCUGUCUGAAUAUGGGGGGACCAUCCUCCAAGGCUAAAUACUCCUGACUGACCGAUAGUGAACCAGUACCGUGAGGGAAAGGCGAAAAGAACCCCGGCGAGGGGAGUGAAAAAGAACCUGAAACCGUGUACGUACAAGCAGUGGGAGCACCUUCGGGUGUGACUGCGUACCUUUUGUAUAAUGGGUCAGCGACUUAUAUUCUGUAGCAAGGUUAACCGUAUAGGGGAGCCGAAGGGAAACCGAGUCUUAACUGGGCGUUAAGUUGCAGGGUAUAGACCCGAAACCCGGUGAUCUAGCCAUGGGCAGGUUGAAGGUUGGGUAACACUAACUGGAGGACCGAACCGACUAAUGUUGAAAAAUUAGCGGAUGACCUGUGGCUGGGGGUGAAAGGCCAAUCAAACCGGGAGAUAGCUGGUUCUCCCCGAAAGCUAUUUAGGUAGCGCCUCGUGAACUCAUCUUCGGGGGUAGAGCACUGUUUCGGCUAGGGGGCCAUCCCGGCUUACCAACCCGAUGCAAACUACGAAUACCGAAGAAUGUUAUCACGGGAGACACACGGCGGGUGCUAACGUCCGUCGUGAAGAGGGAAACAACCCAGACCGCCAGCUAAGGUCCCAAAGUCAUGGUUAAGUGGGAAACGAUGUGGGAAGGCACAGACAGCCAGGAUGUUGGCUUAGAAGCAGCCAUCAUUUAAAGAAAGCGUAAUAGCUCACUGGUCGAGUCGGCCUGCGCGGAAGAUGUAACGGGGCUAAACCAUGCACCGAAGCUGCGGCAGCGACACUAUGUGUUGUUGGGUAGGGGAGCGUUCUGUAAGCCGUUGAAGGUGUGCUGUGAGGCAUGCUGGAGGUAUCAGAAGUGCGAAUGCUGACAUAAGUAACGAUAAAGCGGGUGAAAAGCCCGCUCGCCGGAAGACCAAGGGUUCCUGUCCAACGUUAAUCGGGGCAGGGUGAGUCGACCCCUAAGGCGAGGCCGAAAGGCGUAGUCGAUGGGAAACAGGUUAAUAUUCCUGUACUUGGUGUUACUGCGAAGGGGGGACGGAGAAGGCUAUGUCAGCCGGGCGACGGUUGUCCCGGUUUAAGCAUGUAGGCGGAGGUUCCAGGUAAAUCCGGUACCUUAUUAACGCUGAGGUGUGAUGACGAGGCACUACGGUGCUGAAGUGAUAAAUGCCCUGCUUCCAGGAAAAGCCUCUAAGCAUCAGGUAACACGAAAUCGUACCCCAAACCGACACAGGUGGUCAGGUAGAGAAUACCAAGGCGCUUGAGAGAACUCGGGUGAAGGAACUAGGCAAAAUGGUGCCGUAACUUCGGGAGAAGGCACGCUGAUA